RNAcentral lists this ribosomal RNA (502 nucleotides) under uncultured bacterium. RNAcentral's name for it is "bacterial SSU rRNA". It matches the Rfam family "Bacterial small subunit ribosomal RNA", at positions 28 to 517 of the family's 1533-position model. The record is from RNAcentral.
GAUGAACGCUAGCUACAGGCUUAACACAUGCAAGUCGAGGGGAAACGACAUCGAAAGCUUGCUUUUGAUGGGCGUCGACCGGCGCACGGGUGAGUAACGCGUAUCCAACCUGCCCACCACUUGGGGAUAACCUUGCGAAAGUAAGACUAAUACCCAAUGAUAUCUCUAGAAGACAUCUGAAAGAGAUUAAAGAUUUAUCGGUGAUGGAUGGGGAUGCGUCUGAUUAGCUUGUUGGCGGGGUAACGGCCCACCAAGGCGACGAUCAGUAGGGGUUCUGAGAGGAAGGUCCCCCACAUUGGAACUGAGACACGGUCCAAACUCCUACGGGAGGCAGCAGUGAGGAAUAUUGGUCAAUGGGCGAGAGCCUGAACCAGCCAAGUAGCGUGCAGGAUGACGGCCCUAUGGGUUGUAAACUGCUUUUAUAAGGGAAUAAAGUGAGUCUCGUGAGACUUUUUGCAUGUACCUUAUGAAUAAGGACCGGCUAAUUCCGUGCCAGCAGCCG